UUUCCGUAGGUGAACCUGCGGAAGGAUCAUUAUUGUAUAACCGAGGUGCGCGGGCUGUCGCUGACCCGAAAGGUCGUGCACGCCCGAGUGCCCUCAAACACAUCCAUCUCACCCCUAUGUGCACCACCGCGUGGGUCCCCCUUUGGCUUGUUCGGUGGGGGGCUUACGUUUUCACACAAACUUUGUAUGCAGUGUAGAAUGUAUUUUUUGUUUUUGCGAUCACGCAAUCAAUACAACUUUCAACAACGGAUCUCUUGGCUCUC
Molecule: unclassified non-coding RNA, 263 nt
Filed under: plant metagenome
Description: partial contains small subunit ribosomal RNA, internal transcribed spacer 1, and 5.8S ribosomal RNA
Source: RNAcentral